RNAcentral lists this non-coding RNA (53 nucleotides) under unclassified sequences. Its description in RNAcentral is "Mu-gpT-DE RNA". It matches the Rfam family "Mu-gpT-DE RNA". The record is from Rfam by way of RNAcentral.
UCCUGACAGACGCAUUGGGCGGCUGACACUAGCCACGACAGGAGAAUGAAAUG